Molecule: non-coding RNA, 48 nt
Filed under: Schistosoma mansoni
Lineage: Eukaryota; Metazoa; Platyhelminthes; Trematoda; Strigeidida; Schistosomatidae
Source: RNAcentral
AUCCAGCUGACGAAUCCAGAAUAGAACGAAACGCGCGUCAAACUGGAU